UAGGCAGUGACCAAAUGGUAAGGUACGCCGCAAUGCGGUGGUCGCCCGUGAGGGCGUGUGGGUUCAAAUCCCGUCUGUCUAU
Molecule: transfer RNA, 82 nt
Filed under: Dorea sp.
Lineage: Bacteria; Bacillati; Bacillota; Clostridia; Lachnospirales; Lachnospiraceae
Description: tRNA-Ile
Rfam family: tRNA
About the family: Transfer RNA (tRNA) molecules are approximately 80 nucleotides in length. Their secondary structure includes four short double-helical elements and three loops (D, anti-codon, and T loops).
Source: RNAcentral